CCUGAGAAACCCAAAAGUUCGAAUGAGGAGAUUCAUCGUCAGCACAACUGGUAUAUGUGCAAGUUAUGAUACGAAAUGUUAUUCUUGUGAUAACGAUUGUACGUGCUUGUAUUAUUUUUGCUGGAUGUUGUCGGCGUGCACUUCUCCUCUAGUAGGACGUCGCGACCCGUUGGUGUGUCGUUCUAUGACCCGGAUGGCAGUCUUUAUUUUCUUAUUGAUUUAAAGACCACCGGUGAUCUGAUCGGCUACCCGGCGGUAAUCGUACGGUAUUGAGUCGCAAUAAUAUAUUUAUUUGCGUUGGGCCCGUUGCAAGCGCGGCUAGUAUCUCGGUAGUGCGGAUUUAAUGCCGUCACUGAGACUGGCCAGCUGUUGGUUAACGGUGUUCUCUGACUGACUCAUUAUUUACCGGUCAGCGACGCUAUUGCUUUGGGUACUUUCAGGACCCGUCUUGAAACACGGACCAAGGAGUCUAACAUGUGCGCGAGUCAUUGGGAUUUAUUUUUUUGAAUUAAACCUAAAGGCGCAAUGAAAGUAAAGGUUAUCCUCGCGAUGACUGAGGGAGGAUGAGCUUGACAUUAUUUUAUGUCAGCUCCGCACUCCCGGGGCGUCUCAUCCUUAUUUAUAAGGGGAGGCGCACCCAG
Molecule: ribosomal RNA, 641 nt
Filed under: Orionis eximius
Lineage: Eukaryota; Metazoa; Arthropoda; Insecta; Hymenoptera; Braconidae
Description: eukaryotic LSU rRNA
Rfam family: Eukaryotic large subunit ribosomal RNA
Source: RNAcentral